GACGAACGCUGGCGGCGUGCUUAACACAUGCAAGUCGAACGAGAGUUAGAUCGAAUGAGUUUUCGGACAAAUGAGAUUUAACGAAAGUGGCGAACGGGUGAGCAACACGUGAGCAACCUGCCUUACACAGGGGGAUAGCCAUUGGAAACGGUGAUUAAUACCCCAUAAGACCACAAUACCGCAUGGUAAAAGGGUAAAAGGGAUACCGGUGUAAGAUGGGCUCGCGUCUGAUUAGCUAGUUGGUGGGGUAAAGGCCUACCAAGGCGACGAUCAGUAGCCGGUCUGAGAGGAUGAACGGCCACAUUGGAACUGAGACACGGUCCAAACUCCUACGGGAGGCAGCAGUGGGGAAUAUUGCACAAUGGGGGAAACCCUGAUGCAGCGACGCCGCGUGAGCGAAGAAGGCUUUCGAGUCGUAAAGCUCUGUCCUAUGAGAAGAUAAUGACGGUAUCAUAGGAGGAAGCCCUGGCUAAAUACGUGCCAGCAGCCGCGGUAAUACGUAUGGGGCGAGCGUUGUCCGGAAUUAUUGGGCGUAAAGGGUACGUAGGCGGUUUUUUAAGUCAGGUGUCAAAGCGUGGAGCUUAACUCCAUUAAGCACUUGAAACUGAAAGACUUGAGUGAAGGAGAGGAAAGUGGAAUUCCCAGUGUAGCGGUGAAAUGCGUAGAUAUUAGGAGGAAUACCGGUGGCGAAGGCGACUUUCUGGACUUUUACUGACGCUCAGGUACGAAAGCGUGGGGAGCAAACAGG
Molecule: ribosomal RNA, 748 nt
Filed under: uncultured Parvimonas sp.
Lineage: Bacteria; Bacillati; Bacillota; Tissierellia; Tissierellales; Peptoniphilaceae
Description: bacterial SSU rRNA
Rfam family: Bacterial small subunit ribosomal RNA
Source: RNAcentral